GGCGUCAGGCUGCGAGAUAGCGCCGAGACAGCAUGGACGCCGGGAGCCUGGGAAAGCCAACUGUACCACAGGAGUCUAAACUGUAGCUAGGAAUAGAAGUACGCUCAUUUUAGCUAUUAGAAGGUUUGCCUGAUACUCUGGCUCUUUAUUUCGAGGAUGUCUAGCUCACCUGUGAUAUAACUCAGACCCCAUUUCACUCAUUUCUUAAACUAGGAAUGGGGCAGAAUUUCCCAGCAUCUCUUCCAGCUCCCAGGGAGAAGGUCUGGGACCUAUGUUCUACCAACCAAAUACACUCUCAUGAAGCUCUCAUUUGGAAGUCAGCAACAUGCAGACACAGACUGGGUUCUGAGCAUCUAUGGUGCAGAUGAAGAUGAUGGCAGGAGCUGUGGAGGCAGUAGAAUCCUCAUCAAGCCACUUCUGUGCCUCUAGACCUGCAGUAGCAUGAAGAGGUCUGAGGAAGCUGUGCGUCCCUCAAGAAAGCAAUUCUUUAUUGCCCAUCAAAGAUGAAUCCAUAGGGGAUCAUUAACAAGGAGAUCAUCCCAGAGAGCAGCUUCUAGAAUCACCAACCAAACAGAAGAUUUGUCAGAAGAACAAAGACCUCAAAAUGAGAAGGAAUGUGUUCUGGACUUAAAACAUUGCUCAGGUAUCUUAGCAAGGACUGAGACCUUGGAGGUCUCCAAAUACCAGUAAGAAUCAUUGUGUUAUCCUCUUUCUCACAUGUUGGAUUUUUUUUUUUUUUUUUACUUGUGAUUGAUGAACUGGGAGAAAGGAAGUGGUCUAGAAAGGGUGAGAGUGGGUGGGUAGAUAGGAUACAGGUGGCCUCACCUGGAGAGUGGUCACCUGUGAACAGAAGCCAUGUUGAACUCCCUGCACUGCCUCUUCUUCUCUGUUCCUUGCAAUGACCUUUAGCUGGACUCAGUCAAAACGGCGCUGUCCUUCCCCUUCCCAACCUAAAGCUUAUAGUGCAGUUAAUCUAGAGGUCAGCUGAAGUGCAGAUUCAAGUGGCUCAAACCCCUUUGCAGUAUAGGGAAGGAGUCUGGAAUAGGGAAAGGAUGGGUUGGGGGUGAAGAUGGGAGUUGCUCAUGGCUUCCCUAAUUAGCUCUGAUUCAGAGCUCAGACUUCUGUUAUCAUUUCCUACCCACAAGUGCUGUCUUAUUCCUUUGGUUUCCUUCAUUUCUAUUCAGCCUCAUGAAAUAAAGAAAUAAAGAAAACAAACAAGUAAAUAAAAACAAGAUCUUUAUGGAUGUGGCAGAAAGCUUUGCAAGCCAAGAAAGUCUUCUAUCCAGGUGAUGCAAAUAACUGUAAAACUUCAGACUUCUUGAACUACAAAGAUGAACUCUGCCAACCCAAGUUCUAGUACUUCCUCUACUCCCAGCCUGACCCCCACUGUUUCUUGGUUUCCUCACUCCUUCUCUUUCUGUUUGACUCUUGAGAGUAAUAAACUCAGCCAAGUCCUACUACUUGAGCCCAUAUUUAAAUGCAGAACAAUUUGGCCUUCAGUUUAUUCUUCCCCCUUCUUCCAGACUCUGGUCUGAUUUAUCUUUUUAUACUCUAUAGCCUAUUAGGGUUUUAUAAUAAAGGCUAUCCUUCUCUAAGA
Long non-coding RNA from Homo sapiens (human), 1597 nucleotides. RefSeq annotates it as long independently transcribed non-coding RNA 3239. The transcript has 4 exons. The record is from RefSeq and is a predicted model, not a curated record. NCBI's taxonomy places the organism in Eukaryota, Metazoa, Chordata, Mammalia, Primates, Hominidae.